AAUGAACGCUGGCGUCGUGCCUAACACAUGCAAGUCGGAUGUGCCAGCAAUGGUGCAUGGCAGACGGGUGAGUAACGCGUAGGGAACCUACCUCUUUGUGGGGAAUAACGCUCCGAAAGGAGUGGUAAUACCGCAUGAGAUCAGCGACUGGGAUGUUGUUGAUGAAAGCUGGGGAUCGAAAGACCCAGCGCAAGGAGAGGGUCCUGCGUCUAAUUAGCUAGUUGGUGGGGUAACGGCCUAUUAAGGCGACGAUCAGUAGCCGGCCUGAGAGGGUGAUCGGCCACACUGGAACUGAGACACGGUCCAGACUCCUACGGGAGGCAGCAGUGGGGAAUUUUGCGCAAUGGACGAAAGUCUGACGCAGCAACGCCGCGUGGGUGAUGAAGGUCUUCGGAUCGUAAAACCCUGUCGUCAGGGACGAAGGUUGCAUGCCUAACAGGUGUGUAACUUGACGGUACCUGGAGAGGAAGCCCCGGCUAACUCUGUGCCAGCAGCCGCGGUAAUACAGAGGGGGCAAGCGUUAUUCGGAAUUAUUGGGCGUAAAGGG
RNAcentral lists this ribosomal RNA (547 nucleotides) under uncultured bacterium. Its description in RNAcentral is "bacterial SSU rRNA". It matches the Rfam family "Bacterial small subunit ribosomal RNA", at positions 28 to 567 of the family's 1533-position model. The record is from RNAcentral.